AGCCUCGUAGCUCAGCUGGUAGAGCAUGCGCGUACAAAGCGAAGGCGGCGUCCAUGCGUGGGUUCGAAUCCACUGAGGCUA
This 81-nucleotide transfer RNA is filed under the name Echinostoma caproni. It matches the Rfam family "tRNA". From Rfam's summary of the family: Transfer RNA (tRNA) molecules are approximately 80 nucleotides in length. The record is from Rfam by way of RNAcentral. Lineage: Eukaryota; Metazoa; Platyhelminthes; Trematoda; Plagiorchiida; Echinostomatidae.